This 731-nucleotide ribosomal RNA is filed under the name Streptomyces sp. YIM 56335. RNAcentral's name for it is "bacterial SSU rRNA". It matches the Rfam family "Bacterial small subunit ribosomal RNA", at positions 50 to 798 of the family's 1533-position model. Lineage: Bacteria; Bacillati; Actinomycetota; Actinomycetes; Kitasatosporales; Streptomycetaceae. The record is from RNAcentral.
UACACAUGCAAGUCGAACGAUGAAGCCCUUCGGGGUGGAUUAGUGGCGAACGGGUGAGUAACACGUGGGCAAUCUGCCCUUCACUCUGGGACAAGCCCUGGAAACGGGGUCUAAUACCGGAUAUUACUCCUGCCUGCAUGGGCGGGGGUUGAAAGCUCCGGCGGUGAAGGAUGAGCCCGCGGCCUAUCAGCUUGUUGGUGGGGUAAUGGCCCACCAAGGCGACGACGGGUAGCCGGCCUGAGAGGGCGACCGGCCACACUGGGACUGAGACACGGCCCAGACUCCUACGGGAGGCAGCAGUGGGGAAUAUUGCACAAUGGGCGAAAGCCUGAUGCAGCGACGCCGCGUGAGGGAUGACGGCCUUCGGGUUGUAAACCUCUUUCAGCAGGGAAGAAGCGAAAGUGACGGUACCUGCAGAAGAAGCGCCGGCUAACUACGUGCCAGCAGCCGCGGUAAUACGUAGGGCGCAAGCGUUGUCCGGAAUUAUUGGGCGUAAAGAGCUCGUAGGCGGCUUGUCACGUCGGAUGUGAAAGCCCGAGGCUUAACCUCGGGUCUGCAUUCGAUACGGGCUAGCUAGAGUGUGGUAGGGGAGAUCGGAAUUCCUGGUGUAGCGGUGAAAUGCGCAGAUAUCAGGAGGAACACCGGUGGCGAAGGCGGAUCUCUGGGCCAUUACUGACGCUGAGGAGCGAAAGCGUGGGGAGCGAACAGGAUUAGAUACCCUGGUAGUCCAC